GACGAACGCUGGCGGCGUGCUUAACACAUGCAAGUCGAACGGAAAGGCCCUGCUUUUGUGGGGUGCUCGAGUGGCGAACGGGUGAGUAACACGUGAGUAACCUGCCCUUGACUUUGGGAUAACUUCAGGAAACUGGGGCUAAUACCGGAUAGGAGCUCCUGCUGCAUGGUGGGGGUUGGAAAGUUUCGGCGGUUGGGGAUGGACUCGCGGCUUAUCAGCUUGUUGGUGGGGUAGUGGCUUACCAAGGCUUUGACGGGUAGCCGGCCUGAGAGGGUGACCGGCCACAUUGGGACUGAGAUACGGCCCAGACUCCUACGGGAGGCAGCAGUGGGGAAUAUUGCACAAUGGGCGGAAGCCUGAUGCAGCAACGCCGCGUGCGGGAUGACGGCCUUCGGGUUGUAAACCGCUUUCGCCUGUGACGAAGCGUGAGUGACGGUAAUGGGUAAAGAAGCACCGGCUAACUACGCC
This 468-nucleotide ribosomal RNA is filed under the name uncultured bacterium. RNAcentral's name for it is "partial 16S ribosomal RNA". It matches the Rfam family "Bacterial small subunit ribosomal RNA", at positions 28 to 507 of the family's 1533-position model. The record is from RNAcentral.